Molecule: transfer RNA, 72 nt
Filed under: Bacteroidota bacterium
Lineage: Bacteria; Pseudomonadati; Bacteroidota
Also listed under: 3 other names
Description: Bacteroidetes bacterium tRNA-Met
Rfam family: tRNA
About the family: Transfer RNA (tRNA) molecules are approximately 80 nucleotides in length. Their secondary structure includes four short double-helical elements and three loops (D, anti-codon, and T loops). Further hydrogen bonds mediate the characteristic L-shaped molecular structure. tRNAs have two regions of fundamental functional importance: the anti-codon, which is responsible for specific mRNA codon recognition, and the 3' end, to which the tRNAs corresponding amino acid is attached (by aminoacyl-tRNA synthetases). tRNAs cope with the degeneracy of the genetic code in two manners: having more than one tRNA (with a specific anti-codon) for a particular amino acid; and 'wobble' base-pairing, i.e. permitting non-standard base-pairing at the 3rd anti-codon position.
Source: RNAcentral
UGCGGGAUGGAGCAGUGGUAGCUCGUCGGGCUCAUAACCCGAAGGUCAUAGGUUCGAGUCCUGUUCCCGCUA